CCCUUUGCUUUAAAAGAAAUGAAAACUUUUCUUCAGCGAAAAUAUCAGAAAAGUGAGGACUAAAUCUGGAGGUUUUCUUCCGGCGGUGAUAGUUUAUUUAUGUGAAAGCCGCAAUUUAUCAUGUGGAAAACUGCAAGUUGAGUUGGCCUGGAGUUGGGCUGUAUCAAAAUCAACCAAAUAAACAUCUGCAUUGCUGUCAAAUAUGAAUGAUUUCCCAGUUUCCUGUUCCCAAGGCACUCAUCAUCAGUUGUCUGCCACAUUCAGCAUAAUGUCAACGUUGAAAUUCCAGAUCCCUGCAUUGCGCAGUCAGGAAGGAUGUUGAUAAACUGGAAAGUGUCCAAAGAAGAACAACCUGGAAAGAAAAAUUUAUGAGGAACAGUUGAAGCUGUUGGAUAUAUUUAGCUUGGAAAAGAUUGUGGAGUCAUGGUAGCUGUCUUCAAGAAGAUAAGGCCAAGUUAAGAUAACCAUCUGUUCAGGUUCCCUGUACAAAACAAAAGCUUUUGAUAAAGGUACGUAAUAUAUCUCUUUCAAUGUUUGCUUUAUUUCUUGGUUCUGAAGAGUCUUCUAGAGAAAUUAAAGUCAAUAUUACUUUUUGCAAGUGAUAGCAGUAGCUACAAAAACAGACAGGAGAGGUUAUUGAUUGUUCAGGAUAUUCAGACCAUUCUUUAUAUUCUGUCUUUUGGAACAAGAAAAGUGUUUUUCCAAGCCAGGCAGAACACUACUUUAGACUGACAACCAAUAAUGGUGAAGAACAUUAUUUGGUAUAUACAGCAACAUUGUACGUCAUUAUGACAUACAGUAUAUGCUCAAAAAGACUAAUAUGUCAACAAAAAGAAAAAAAAUCCAAUUCUAUUUUUAUUAUUUGUAUUAAAUUUCUAAACUUUUAUUUUAGGGAUUAAUAUACAGAUAUUUGUUGGAAAACUAAACAGAUUGAUAUUGUGCUUUCAAAGGAUUGCAUAAAAAUGUUUCCUACAAAGGACCCCUUUUCUGAUUAUGGCAGAUUUGUAUUUCUCUCUGGCCUAUCUGCAGUAGAGAGAAAAAAAUACAAUCCUGUCUCUGGUGCUAAAAGUGAAUGUAAGAAAGCAGAAAACUUCAAACCAAACAAGCUUUACAAAGGUGGUAUUGUGGGCUAAGCCAAAUGAAUAAAACAUUUUUCAAGCAUGUCAAUAGAUCAUAUUCUUCCAAUAUGUCGGAUUUGAUCACAGCUCAGCAGUAAUCCUCAAUGCAUAAGCAAGAAAAACAAUUGGGGAACAAAGAAAAUGAAGCCAAAAGAAGUAUCUAAAGAUGUUCAGAUGUGUUUAUCUCUCCUUAUCUGGUUCUCUUUGGGUAUACGAGACAUGAAUUUUCACAUGAACAAUUUGCAAGGAAACAACUUCAGAUUGUGUUUUUAUGGAAACUUUUGUCACAAAACAGUAAAAUGUGGAAAGCCAGCCAGAUUAUUUUGUGCUACACAAUUCAGUGGGACGGUUUUUGGCAUGGAGUGAAAACUCUUAAUAGGGAUUCAUAAUGCAUUUUCAUAUUUAUUUCAGCUUCUUAUAGGAAUCAUCUUAUAAACUUCCAAAAUCCUAGACACUUUUACAAUGUAAGUGAAACUUUGGAAUCCAAAUCAGACAUCCCACUUAAAAUUUAUCUUAUAAUAUGAUGAACAUUUGGGAUCUUGAAUAGUUUUUUCUUAAGUAUUGUUAAGGAACACUUUUUAUUUUGAACAAAUAGUCUUUUUUUGUGAUCCUUGUUCUCAUGAUACAUAUACACUUUCUCAAUCAAAACACUUUUGCCACUCCACCAUAUUUCAUGUCCUAUAAAAAUAUUAACUUUUUCUACAUUACGCAACUGCUUGGUAAAAUAUGUAUUUACAUUCUGAAAUAUCUUUUCAGCACUUCCUUGUAUCCUUACAUAAGCAAUGACAAUACUUUAACAAUAUGAAAACAGGACAUCUUGCAGUUUCAGAAAAUUGUUAUUUGGGAUAGAAAUGCAGACAGUUUGUGUCCUUUAGUGAAGAUUUAAUAUUAUUCAGAAUUAUGCUUUAAAAAUAUUAUAUGGGUAGUCUUCAACUUAUGACCAUAACUGGACCUGACAAUUACAUUUUUUUGCAACAGACUUUAAGUGAAUCCAUUGUUUGCCCUGUGGCAUUUUUGCUGGAAAUCAGAAGUAUAUCUUAGUUUUGAGCAAAAACAUCAAAAAUUACAGUCAUGUGACCAUGGGAUGCUGCAAACAGCCAUAAAUGUAUGCUGGUUGCCAGAUGCCCAAAAUACAGUCAUGUGACUAGGGGGGUGGCCAUUGGAAUUUUGGAUCCAGGUCAUAAAUAUCUUUUGGGCAUUGUAUCUUCAAACAGUCACUAAGUGAUCAGUCAUAAGUUGUGGACUACCUAUAGAUGAUAUUAAAGUUUUUAAAAAAGUAGUACAAAGAAAAUCACAAGUAUGGGCUCAUUCUGAAGGCAAGAUACUCUUUGGGGACAGGCUAUAUGUUGCAUAUUAGUGAAACAUAAGUGAGGGAAAAUGUCCUUGUAUUGAGAACGUUUUAAUAAUAUUUCCUAGUUUAUGCUGGAUUUCAGCUACAAGUUCAUACCAGUAGUAUAGCUCUGCUAAUCAUGAAACUAUCAGUGGAACAGCUUACUCCCAGAAAUCGUGGGCGCUCCAUCGCUGGAAAGAGACUGGACAAUCACCUGAGAUGGUAUAGGUCCUCCUGCUUGAGCAGGGGGCUGGACUAGAAGACCUCCAAGGUCCUUCCAGCUUCUAUUCUACUCUACUCUACUCUACUCUACUCUACUCUACAGUAUCUGACCUCUGUAGUAUUUCUAUCUUAGCUACAAACAUUACUUUUACAGAGUAGAGGUUAUUUUAUACAACCACUAGCACUCAUUUGAAAGUGGCCUCAGAAAAAUUGCUAAUUGUGUUGUGGAGAAGAGUUGAUACUAUCUUGCACAUAGCUUGCAUCAUGAAUGACUUUAUUCACAAUUCUCAAGGUUCCCAGUGAUAGGGAUAGAGAGAUAUAAACAAAAACGUUAGAUAUACACGCUGUUCCCAAGCUAUAUAACAUAUACCAUAAGGUCAGUUGUGACUGUGUUUAUAUUAUAUGCUGAUUUGCAAUCUAGUCAACCAUACUUUAGAUAAGAAUGUUUCUUAGCCUUAGCAAUUUUAAGAUGUGUGGACUUCGCCUCCCAGAAUUCCCCAGUUAGCAUUACUGGCUGGGAAAUUUGGGGAGUUGAAGUCCACACUUCUUAAAAUUGCCAAGGUUGAGAAAUACUGCCCUAGAAUUAAAUCCAAUUGGCAAAUGUGCAAAGAAUUUAUAGCUGUAUCCCAAGAAACCCCAAAAUUGCACUAAGUAAAUUAUAGCUUAGUUAACCCCAGGCAAGCAUGUGCAAUCAAGGUAGGCUGCCACCAAUUUUUCUCCUCCUUUCUGGAAGAAAAGAAUUGGAAUUAGAAUAACAGUUGGAAGGG
Long non-coding RNA from Crotalus tigris (Tiger rattlesnake), 3437 nucleotides. RefSeq lists it as uncharacterized. The record is from RefSeq and is a predicted model, not a curated record. The transcript is spliced from 5 exons. NCBI's taxonomy places the organism in Eukaryota, Metazoa, Chordata, Lepidosauria, Squamata, Viperidae.